GUUUGGGGCAGUGUUCCGCUCUCGUGGCUGCACUUUCCGCGUGUCCUCCCAAUCUGCCGGCAUCCACGCACCUCCGCGCCUUCCCACACUCUUGGCUGUAUCUCCGCCGUUGUCCCGUGCGGUCUGUUGCAGCCUCCUCGGCCCUGCGCAGAUGAAGACCCUCCCCCGGACGGCUUUGCGGGCCCUGCCUCAGCCGGCGCCCCCUUCUCUCCUGCAGGACCCGGACCCGCACUGCAGGGGCUGAGUGCCCUCUGGGAGUGUCACGUGACUGCUGUCGUAUGGGAGAUGUGGUCAGGAAGAGCCUGGCUAUGAGCCUCAGGUGGAUCUGUGUACACAGGCUCCGUGGAGGUUCCUCUUCAUGUCAGCCAGGCGCUAGACCCUGGGGCCUCAGGUUCUCUUUUUAAAGGGUGACCCCAGAGUUUCACUAGAGAAGAAACUCCCAGGCCUGUGGUUCUGAGGCUCCCUAGCUUUCUGGUUCACAUCAGUUGGUGUAUUAGAUGGCUGGCGGAGUCCCCAGCCAUGUCGUCAGCCCUCAGCAGGGGGCUGACCUGCCUUUCUAUGCUACAGAUGUGUUGGUGGAAGGCUGAAACUCUGCAAUGGUGCUUUCAUUACUCGGUGACCCUGAAGAGGCAACACGGCGCCCCCUAGAGGCAUGACUGGCUCCCAGGUAACAGGUGACAUCUAGUUUGGCUGUGUAAACUGGGAGCUUGGGCCUGUUCCAUUGGGAUCCUCUGAGCUGUUACUUGAAGAUGGUGCUGGAAAGUAAUGCUUGUGGGCUUCUUCUAGAUUCAUCCACUGUGUGCACAGCAGCGGGACAGAAUGGAGAGGGAGGUCCCCACACGAAGCCUCACCAGGGCUCGCUGCCCUCUGCGCCGAGUCAUGGGAGAACCCUUCCCUCAGCACAGAGAUGAGGGGAAGCCCUGGGACUGGCAUCUCUUGAGUCCCGACACUGCCCUGGUUGGGGGGUGGGGGAGCUGUGGACAGGGAAGGCUGGCCCUGAGCCUCAAUGCUGCGCCUGGAUGACUUCAGCAACCAGGAGUUUUUCUCUUGAGUUGGCAGCUGCUUGUCAAUCUGCUCUCCACCCAUCCAUUCAAUAAACUGUACACAG
This 1108-nucleotide long non-coding RNA is filed under the name Sus scrofa (pig). Its description in RNAcentral is "lncRNA (ENSSSCG00055024557.1)". The record is from RNAcentral. Lineage: Eukaryota; Metazoa; Chordata; Mammalia; Artiodactyla; Suidae.